RNAcentral lists this ribosomal RNA (433 nucleotides) under uncultured bacterium. Its description in RNAcentral is "partial 16S ribosomal RNA". It matches the Rfam family "Bacterial small subunit ribosomal RNA", at positions 29 to 507 of the family's 1533-position model. The record is from RNAcentral.
AACGAACGCUGGCGGCAUGCCUAACGCAUGCAAGUCGUACGAGACCUUCGGGUCUAGUGGCGCACGGGUGCGUAACGCGUGGGAACCUGCCCUUAGGUUCGGAAUAACUCCCCGAAAGGGGUGCUAAUACCGGAUAAUGUCUUCGGACCAAAGAUUUAUCGCCUUUGGAUGGGCCCGCGUUGGAUUAGCUAGUUGGUAGGGUAAAAGCCUACCAAGGCGACGAUCCAUAGCUGGUCUGAGAGGAUGAUCAGCCACACUGGGACUGAGACACGGCCCAGACUCCUACGGGAGGCAGCAGUGGGGAAUAUUGGACAAUGGGCGAAAGCCUGAUCCAGCAAUGCCGCGUGAGUGAUGAAGGCCUUAGGGUUGUAAAGCUCUUUUACCCGGGAUGAUAAUGACAGUACCGGGAGAAUAAGCUCCGGCUAACUCCGUG